This 467-nucleotide ribosomal RNA is filed under the name uncultured bacterium. RNAcentral describes it as "bacterial SSU rRNA". It matches the Rfam family "Bacterial small subunit ribosomal RNA", at positions 328 to 792 of the family's 1533-position model. The record is from RNAcentral.
CGUCCAGACUCCUACGGGAGGCAGCAGUGAGGAAUAUUGGUCAAUGGCCGAGAGGCUGAACCGGCCAAGUCGCGUGAGGGAAGACGGCCCUACGGGUUGUAAACCUCUUUUGUCGGGGAGCAAAGCGAGUCACGUGUGACUCAUUGAGAGUACCCGAAGAAAAAGCAUCGGCUAACUCCGUGCCAGCAGCCGCGGUAAUACGGAGGAUGCGAGCGUUAAUCGGAAUUACUGGGCGUAAAGGGUGUGCAGGCGGUUUUGCAAGAUGGAUGUGAAAGCCCCGGGCUUAACCUGGGAAAGCCAUACAUGACUGCAAGACUAGAGUGCGUCAGAGGGGGGUGGAAUUCCAAGUGUAGCAGUGAAAUGCGUAGAUAUUUGGAAGGACACCGAUGGCGAAGGCAGCCCCCUGGGACGCAACUGACGCUCAUACACGAAAGCGUGGGGAGCAAACAGGAUUAGAUACCCGCGUA